RNAcentral lists this ribosomal RNA (1424 nucleotides) under uncultured Bordetella sp. Its description in RNAcentral is "partial 16S-23S ribosomal RNA intergenic spacer". It matches the Rfam family "Bacterial small subunit ribosomal RNA". Lineage: Bacteria; Pseudomonadati; Pseudomonadota; Betaproteobacteria; Burkholderiales; Alcaligenaceae. The record is from RNAcentral.
AGUCGAACGGCAGCACGGACUUCGGUCUGGUGGCGAGUGGCGAACGGGUGAGUAAUGUAUCGGAACGUGCCUAGUAGCGGGGGAUAACUACGCGAAAGCGUAGCUAAUACCGCAUACGCCCUUCGGGGAAAGCGGGGGGACCUUCGGGCCUCGCACUAUUGGAAGCAGCUUCGAUAUCGGAUUAGCUAGUUGGUGGGGUAACGGCUCACCAAGGCGACGAUCCGUAGCUGGUUUGAGAGGACGACCAGCCACACUGGGACUGGAGACACGGCCCAGACUCCUGCGAGGAGGCAACAGUGGGGAAUUUUUGGACAAUGGGAAACCCUGAUCCAGCCAUCCCGCGUGUGCGAUGAAGGCCUUCGGGUUGUAAAGCACACUUUUGGCAGGAAAGCGGCACAGGAUAAUACGUGCAACUGACGGUACCUGCAGAAUAAGCACCGGCUAACUACGUGCCAGCAGCCGCGGUAAUACGUAGGGUGCAAGCGUUAAUCGGAAUUACUGGGUGUAAAGCGUGCGCAGGCAGUUCGAAGAAAGAUGUGAAAUCCCGAAACGCUUUGGGCCAUUUUUGGCUCGAGCUAGAGUGUGUGUCAGAGGAGGUGGAAUUCCGCGCGUGUAGCAAUUGAAAUGCGUAGAUAUGCGGAGGAACACCGAUAGCGAAGGCAGCCUCCUGGGAUAACACUGACAACUCAUGCACGAAAGCGUGAAACGACUGGGAUUAGAUACCUGGUAGUCCACGCCCUAAACGAUGUCAACUAGCUGUUGGGGCCUUCGGGCGCUGGUAGCGCAGCUAACGCGUGAAGUUGACCACCGCCUGGGAAGUACGGUCGCAAGAUUAAAACUCAAAAGAAAUUGACGGGGACCCACAAGCGGUGGAUGAUGUGGAUUAAUUCGAUGCAACACGAAAAACCUUACCUACCCUUGACAUGUCUUAGAUCGAGAUUUGGGAGUGCUCGCAAGAGAACCGGAGCACAGGUGCUGCAUGGCUGUCGUCAGCUCGUGUCGUGAGAUGUUGGGUUAAGUCCCUGGCAGGCGCAACCCUUGUCAUUAGUUGCUACGAGGAGCACUCGUAAAGGACGCGGUGACAAACCGGAGGAAGGUGGGGAUGACGUCAAGUCCUCAUGGCCCUUAUAGGUGGGGCUUCACGUCAUACAAUGAAUGGGACAGAGGGUCGCCAACCCGCGAGGAAGGAGCCAAUCCCAGAGAAACCCGAUCGUAGUCCGGAUCGCAGUCUGCAACUCGACUGCGUGAAGUCGGAAUCGCUAGUAAUCGCGGAUCAGCAUGUCGCGGUGAAUACGUUCCCGGGUCUUGUACACACCGCCCGUCGCACCAUGGAAUUGGGUUUUGCCGAAGUGAAUUAGCCUAACCGUAAGGAGGCGAUUACCACGGUAGGAUUCAUGACUGAAAUUGAAGUCGUAACAAGGUAA